UAGAAUUGUAUAAAAGAAAACGUGACUAGAAGUUGACUAGCAUUGAGGUCUGACUAGAGUUGAGGUCUUGACAGACGGAACCUUAAGCAAGUUGCUGUGAUAACGGUUCUUGCCCUCCUGACCUGGUGUUCACCCACUGUGUUGAGUGACCCAGUUGUAUCGUAAUCUUUAUUCCUCAUCCAAGCUAGCUCUGCUAGAUUGAUGAUAGAUGAUCAGAAUUCAUGACUUUGUUUUAUCGAGACUGACACAAUAUACUCGUGGUCCAUACAGUCCACUACUCGAGUACCAACCAAGCUAUCAGUCACC
Molecule: long non-coding RNA, 306 nt
Organism: Daphnia magna
Lineage: Eukaryota; Metazoa; Arthropoda; Branchiopoda; Diplostraca; Daphniidae
Exons: 3
Source: RefSeq, a predicted model, not a curated record